CACGGUACCGGCACGCAGACAUCAUGAAAGUAAUCAUCUUCCCUGUGUAUUACUAUAAUCCCGGGAGAAAAAAAAUCCCACUUUUUUGUUGUUGUUGACACUAUAUUUACAUAAAUUGCACAUACACACGUUAGAAUAAUCCAAUAUACUGGUAUUCUAUAAAAUGAAUUCUCAUUUCCUUUUUUGUAAAGUGCGAAUAUCCUUUCGAUCCCCAGCAAUGUUGGCGAACAAAAAUGUAUAUAUUAAACAUUUUUUAUACGUUUUGCACCCAAUGCAAAUCUUAAAAAACUAUCCGAUAUAUA
This 302-nucleotide long non-coding RNA is filed under the name Mytilus galloprovincialis (Mediterranean mussel). The record is from RNAcentral. Lineage: Eukaryota; Metazoa; Mollusca; Bivalvia; Mytilida; Mytilidae.